This 301-nucleotide ribosomal RNA is filed under the name uncultured bacterium. Its description in RNAcentral is "partial 16S ribosomal RNA". It matches the Rfam family "Bacterial small subunit ribosomal RNA", at positions 509 to 809 of the family's 1533-position model. The record is from RNAcentral.
CAGCCGCCGCGGGAAUACGAGGGGGGCAAGCGUUGUUCGGAAUUAUUGGGCGUAAAGGGUGCGUAGGCGGCUUGACAAGUCUUGUGUGAAAUCUAUGGGCUCAACCCAUAGUCUGCACGGGAAACUGUCGGGCUUGAGAAUGGGAGAGGUGAGUGGAAUUUCCGGUGUAGCGGUGAAAUGCGUAGAUAUCGGAAGGAACACCUGUGGCGAAAGCGGCUCACUGGACCAUUUCUGACGCUGAUGCACGAAAGCUAGGGGAGCAAUCAGGAUUAGAUACCCCCGUAGUCCCUGUCUCUUAUAA